AAUUCAUGACAAGUGUAGCUUCUCAAGAGUUCUUUGAAUUUGUCCCAUGCCUCUUGCAGUGUUUCAUCUUUCUGCUAAGAAAAAGCCAAGAUUUCUUGCCUCAAUUU
This is a small nucleolar RNA of Abrus precatorius (Indian licorice), 107 nucleotides long. The record is from RefSeq and is a predicted model, not a curated record. NCBI's taxonomy places the organism in Eukaryota, Viridiplantae, Streptophyta, Magnoliopsida, Fabales, Fabaceae.